CGGGUGCACUGAUCCAGCCGGGCCUUUCCCUCUGUGGAACCCCAUGGCCUUCACUGGCUGUGGUGGGGAAACAGGACUUUUACUUUGAAAAAAUUAGAGUGCUCCAGGCAGGCCUAUGCUCGAAUACAUUAGCAUGGAAUAAUAGAAUAGGACGUGUGGUUCUAUUUUGUUGGUUUCUAGGACCGCCGUAAUGAUUAAUAGGGACAGUCGGGGGCGUCAGUAUUCAAUUGUCAGAGGUGAAAUUCUUGGAUCUAUUGAAGACUAACUACUGCGAAAGCAUUUGCCAAGGAUGUUUUCAUUGAUAAGGAACGAAAGUUAGGGGAUCGAAGACGAUCAGAUACCGUCGUAGUCUUAACUAUAAACUAUGCCGACUAGGGAUCGGACGAUGUUAUUCUUUGACGCGUUCGGCACCUUUCGAGAAAUCAAAGUGCUUGGGCUCCAGGGGGAGUAUGGUCGCAAGGCUGAAACUUAAAGAAAUUGACGGAAGGGCACCACCAGGGGUGGAACCUGCGGCUUAAUUUGACUCAACACGGGGAAACUCACCAGGUCCAGACACAGUGAGGAUUGACAGAUUGAGAGCUCUUUCUUGAUUCUGUGGGUGGUGGUGCAUGGCCGUUCUUAGUUGGUGGAGUGAUUUGUCUGCUUAAUUGCGAUAACGAACGAGACCUUAACCUGCUAAAUAGCCCGUACUGCUUUGGCAGUUCGCCGGCUUCUUAGAGGGACUAUCGG
RNAcentral lists this ribosomal RNA (729 nucleotides) under uncultured eukaryote. RNAcentral's name for it is "SSU rRNA". It matches the Rfam family "Eukaryotic small subunit ribosomal RNA", at positions 670 to 1426 of the family's 1831-position model. The record is from RNAcentral.